AGUGAACGCUGGCGGUAGGCCUAACACAUGCAAGUCGAACGGCAGCACAGUAAGAGCUUGCUCUUACGGGUGGCGAGUGGCGGACGGGUGAGGAAUACAUCCGAAUCUACUUUUUCGUGUGGGAUAACGUAGGGAAACUUACGCUAAUAUCGCAUACGACCUACGGUUGAAAGCAGUGGAUCUUCGCACCUUGCGCGAUUGAAUGAGCCGCUGUCGGAUUUGAUGGUUGGCGGGGUAAAGGCCCACCAAGGCGACGAUCCGUAGCUGGUCUGAGAGGAUGAUAAGCCACAUGAGAAGUUGGACAGCGUCAAGACUACUAAGAGAGGGCGCAGUGGGGAAUAUUGGGCAGUAGGCGCAAGCAUGAUCCAGUCAGACCGCGUGGGUGAAGGAGGCCUUCGGGUUGUAAAGACGUUUUGUUGGGAGAGAAAAGCAGCAGGUUAAUACCAAGCUGUUGUGACGGUACCCAAAGAAUAAGCACCGGCUAACUACGUG
RNAcentral lists this ribosomal RNA (492 nucleotides) under uncultured bacterium. RNAcentral's name for it is "partial 16S ribosomal RNA". It matches the Rfam family "Bacterial small subunit ribosomal RNA", at positions 29 to 507 of the family's 1533-position model. The record is from RNAcentral.